GACGAACGCUGGCGGCGUGCUUAACACAUGCAAGUCGAACGGAAAGGCCCUGCUUUUGUGGGGUGCUCGAGUGGCGAACGGGUGAGUAACACGUGAGUAACCUGCCCUUGACUUUGGGAUAACUUCAGGAAACUGGGGCUAAUACCGGAUAGGAGCUCCUGCUGCAUGGUGGGGGUUGGAAAGUUUCGGCGGUUGGGGAUGGACUCGCGGCUUAUCAGCUUGUUGGUGGGGUAGUGGCUUACCAAGGCUUUGACGGGUAGCCGGCCUGAGAGGGUGACCGGCCACAUUGGGACUGAGAUACGGCCCAGAAUCCUACGGGAGGCAGCAGUGGGGAAUAUUGCACAAUGGGCGGAAGCCUGAUGCAGCAACGCCGCGUGCGGGAUGACGGCCUUCGGGUUUUAAACCGCUUUCGCCUGUGACGAAGCGUGAGUGACGGUAAUGGGUAAAGAAGCACCGGCUAACUACGUG
RNAcentral lists this ribosomal RNA (468 nucleotides) under uncultured bacterium. Its description in RNAcentral is "partial 16S ribosomal RNA". It matches the Rfam family "Bacterial small subunit ribosomal RNA", at positions 28 to 507 of the family's 1533-position model. The record is from RNAcentral.